This 476-nucleotide ribosomal RNA is filed under the name Cytospora sp. RNAcentral describes it as "partial large subunit ribosomal RNA". It matches the Rfam family "Eukaryotic large subunit ribosomal RNA", at positions 402 to 902 of the family's 3401-position model. The record is from RNAcentral. Lineage: Eukaryota; Fungi; Ascomycota; Sordariomycetes; Diaporthales; Cytosporaceae.
AAAUUGUUGAAAGGGAAGCGCUUGUGACCAGACUUGUGCCGGGCGGUUCAUCAGGGGUUCUCCCCUGUGCACUCCGCCCGGCUCAGGCCAGCAUCGGUUCUCGUGGGGGGAUAAGAACGGUAGGAACGUGGCCCUCCUUCGGGGGGGUGUUAUAGCCUACCGUACGAUACCCUCGUGGGGACCGAGGUUCGCGCUCCGCAAGGAUGCUGGCGUAAUGGUCAUCAGCGACCCGUCUUGAAACACGGACCAAGGAGUCGUCCAUUAGAGCGAGCGUUUGGGUGUAAAACCCGCACGCGUAAUGAAAGUGAACGCAGGUGAGAGCUUCGGCGCAUCAUCGACCGAUCCUGAUGUCUUCGGAUGGAUUUGAGUAAGAGUUUUAACGGACGGACCCGAAAGACAGUGAACUAUGCUUGUAUAGGGUGAAGCCAGAGGAAACUCUGGUGGAGGCUCGCAGCGGUUCUGACGUGCAAAUCGAU